Molecule: long non-coding RNA, 1554 nt
Filed under: Bemisia tabaci
Lineage: Eukaryota; Metazoa; Arthropoda; Insecta; Hemiptera; Aleyrodidae
Description: lncRNA ENSSSA1UGG007696
Source: RNAcentral
GAGGUCCUAUUUUGUGUUAAGAUUAUUAUCCUUGUGUGCCAUCUGCCAUCACUGCAUUUUGAACUUCUCUCGGUUACUUGCAAUCAUCUGAUUCAAAGCGGAGGUGCUGCAGCUUUGCUCAAGGCAGAAAGAAUGGCCGCUGUUCCGUUUACUUUCGCUAUUGUUACGCUAGAAGAACAUGCUGAUGGAUUGGUUGUAAUCAGGUCAAAUUGGAUUUCCAAAGAGAGGCCCAACUACUGUUUUUAUCCAACUAAGGUCAAAGACAUGACAAAAUAUUUGCAGAGGCGUGAAAACGUCAAACCCAGCGAAGAUUGGACUGCUGAAAAAAUUCGCCUCUUCCAAGACAACAUACCAACCUACAAGGAAGCAUUCACCAGAAUGUUAUACUUCACGGAGCACUCAGGAGAAUCACAGUCUUCAGAAGCAGAAACGACAGAAAGACGGAAGCGGACGAUCACUCUGCCUGCCAGAUAUGAUUUAAGUGACGAAGAAAAUUCCCAACCAACAAGGAAGCAACCGAAGAAGCCGUCACAAAAGAAAGGCAGCAGCAAUCAAACAAUUUUAGCACCUGCGGGUACAGCACUGCCCCCAUUCCCGGAACCACCUCGUAACCCCCUAACGGAUAGAGUCAUCGACACGAAUUACAUGAGAGAAUUUUUAUUGACACCAGAAGAAAUGAGAGACAGUUUUGAGUCUUUAGAGGACCAGGACUCUCAAGAUAUUGCCACAUACUUAGCUAGCGGAGAGGCCCAAAGCAAUUCUUAUAAUGACCUUCAUGUGAGAAAUGAAGAGGAGGCGCAGUCCGAUGUUGAUGUACAAUUCUCUAGAUUAGAUGCAGUAAUACCUCUUACUCCGCCACGGCAAGUAGAGAGUUUGCAACUGCAAGUGGAGAAUACUGUACCCUCAAAUUCCCAACAGCAAGCAGAAAAUGAUCCACCUGGCGAGGAGCUGGAAGAGCUGCGAAAUUUAACGACACAGGAGCUCCUGUUAAAACUUCAUGGAGAGAUAAAAUCCGGAUUUCAUACCUUGGGGAACAGAUUAAGCAAUCUUGAGAAGGAUGUUGCGUACCUCAAAGCGACGGCAAAAUCAGGCGGGCUGAUUGGGCAAAGCGCCAACAAAGCUCCGAUAAUUAGUCUCGCUAAUUUAUACCCUGCAGGCCUCCCGUGCAAGUCCUCUGUGGAGGUUGAGGCUCUUGAGACUUUCUUGAAUGAAAAUGUAGACACCAGGAAGAAGUUUUUCCAGGGUCUGUUGCAGCUGGGAGGGGCAAAGCCCGGAGAUAUCAUCAGAGAAGUACUGAGAACCCUCUUGAGUAAUCAAGCAGCCAAGGAAUAUAGCUACCUAGGGGAGGGAUCGAACAACAAGACAUUUCAAACUCUGCUGAUACACGACAUGGCCCUGCAUGUUGUACGAGCAAACGCCCAGUUUCACGAUUAUACAGCCAGUGCAUUCAAGGAAGUUGUAGAAAACUGGCUGAGAAAUGCGAACAAAAGGCUACUUGCUGAAAAAAAGAAGAAAGUCCCUCAAGGACCUCAAAGAGUGCUAGAUUUUGUUUAG